This is a non-coding RNA of Callorhinus ursinus (northern fur seal), 550 nucleotides long. NCBI's taxonomy places the organism in Eukaryota, Metazoa, Chordata, Mammalia, Carnivora, Otariidae. The record is from RefSeq and is a predicted model, not a curated record.
GGCAGAUGCUUAACGACUGAGACACCCAAGUGCCCCACAUCCUCACAGGCACGAGCGCUCAUGCGCACACACACCACUCUACACACACACACACACACACACACAUGCACACUGUCACCUCACUCCCAGUUUUCUUUCAUGAGUUCUGCAGAAAAAAGGAAAGAGAAAACACUAUCCAACGCGGAUACCUUGACAUUGACCAACUUCUAGCAGGGAGAAGUAAGGAGGAAGAGAAGAAAGGGUACCGCUCCCCUCCCUUCUGCUUUUAUUAAGCAGCGGUUCUGGAAGCCCUCCUUCCUUCGCCUCCGCACAUUUCAUCUUGCACAUCCUUGGCUGGAGCCCAGAGGGUCACACCUAGCUGCAGAGAGGCUGGCCGAAGUCGUCUUUUCAGCUGGGCACAAAUAAUACUGCCCUUCGCUCCGGGAAGAGAGGAGACUGGAUAUCUGAUGGGAGCCUGAGGGCCAGUUCCUGCCAACAGUAGAUGCUUUACAACAAGCAGUGAUUAUAGCUCUAAUGAAACCACAAAUAAAUGCUUCCUAUUUUUACUGAG